Molecule: ribosomal RNA, 207 nt
Filed under: uncultured bacterium
Lineage: Bacteria
Description: partial 16S ribosomal RNA
Rfam family: Bacterial small subunit ribosomal RNA
Source: RNAcentral
CGCGUAGGCGGUUAUAAAAGUCGGAUGUGAAAUUCCGGGGCUCAACCCCGGAGCUGCAUUUGAAACUCUAUAGCUAGAGUUCAGUUAGGGUAAACGGAAUUCCACGUGUAGCGGUGAAAUGCGUAGAUAUGUGGAAGAACACCGGUGGUGAAGACGGUUUACUGGGCUGAUACUGACGCUGAGGCGCGAAAGCAUGGGGAGCAAACA